GUGUGAAUUGCAGAAUUCCGCGAAUCAUCGAGUCUUUGAACGCAAGUUGCGCCCGAGGCUUGACCAAGGGCAUCUCUGCCAGAGCGUCACCGCGACACCCACCAGUCCACUCCCCAAUAAUUACCCUAGUUGUUGGGAGUGCUGAGUGAAAGUGGCCGUCCGAAUGGGGGCCACCCGAAGGAUUCAUUCUUGGGGUGGCCAGAUUGGGUCGGCUGAAAUAGAGGGAAUUUGGCCGCCGUGGUGACACAGCCCGCGAUCAGGUGAUCAAAACUUAGGGAACAACUCCCUAAGUUGGACAAAUGUGCACGGUGCUGUGUCUCCCAGUUGGAUAUAUUCCAAAGCAGGUCUCUCCCGAACUGCCCCCGACUCUUAGAGUUGGGGGGAGGGAGGGAGACAAAAAGUCCCGCAUCAGACCUCUGAUCAGAGAAGACUACCCGCUGAGUUUAA
RNAcentral lists this ribosomal RNA (447 nucleotides) under Fissidens dubius. Its description in RNAcentral is "eukaryotic LSU rRNA". The stretch from base 1 to 89 matches the Rfam family "5.8S ribosomal RNA", at positions 65 to 154 of the family's 154-position model. Lineage: Eukaryota; Viridiplantae; Streptophyta; Bryopsida; Dicranales; Fissidentaceae. The record is from RNAcentral.